This 468-nucleotide ribosomal RNA is filed under the name uncultured bacterium. RNAcentral describes it as "partial 16S ribosomal RNA". It matches the Rfam family "Bacterial small subunit ribosomal RNA", at positions 28 to 507 of the family's 1533-position model. The record is from RNAcentral.
GACGAACGCUGGCGGCGUGCUUAACACAUGCAAGUCGAACGGAAAGGCCCUGCUUUUGUGGGGUGCUCGAGUGGCGAACGGGUGAGUAACACGUGAGUAACCUGCCCUUGACUUUGGGAUAACUUCAGGAAACUGGGGCUAAUACCGGAUAGGAGCUCCUGCUGCAUGGUGGGGGUUGGAAAGUUUCGGCGGUUGGGGAUGGACUCGCGGCUUAUCAGCUUGUUGGUGGGGUAGUGGCUUACCAAGGCUUUGACGGGUAGCCGGCCUGAGAGGGUGACCGGCCACAUUGGGACUGAGAGACGCCCCAGACUCCUACGGGAGGCAGCAGUGGGGAAUAUUGCACAAUGGGCGGAAGCCUGAUGCAGCAACGCCGCGUGCGGGAUGACGGCCUUCGGGUUGUAAACCGCUGUCGCCUGUGACGAAGCGUGAGUGACGGUAAUGGGUAAAGAAGCACCGGCUAACUACGUG